UGAGUACGAGAUGCUACGGCAUCGAAGCAGUCUAUGUCAUACUUCCAAGAAAAGCUUGCACUGUCAUAAACAAAGAAUGCCUGUACCAUAACCGACACAGGUGGGUAGGUAGAGUAUACUAAGGGGCGCGAGAUAACUCUCUCUAAGGAACUCGGCAAAAUGACUCCGUAACUUCGGGAGAAGGAGUGCCUUAUUUCUAAGGUUGCAAUAACAAGAUCCAAGCAACUGUUUACCAAAAACACAGGUCUCCGCUAAGUCGUAAGGCGAUGUAUGGGGGCUGACGCCUGCCCAGUGCCAGAAGGUUAAAGAAGUUGGUUAGCAUUAGCGAAGCUGAUAACUGAAGCCCUGGUGAACGGCGGCCGUAACAAUAACGGUCCUAAGGUAGCGAAAUUCCUUGUCGGGUAAGUUCCGACCCGCACGAAAGGCGUAAUGAUUUGGAUACUGUCUCGGAGAGGGGCUCGGUGAAAUAGACUUGUCUGUGAAGAUGCGGACUACCUGCACCUGGACAGAAAGACCCUAUGAAGCUUUACUGUAACUUGAGAUUGAAAUUGGACUUUAUUUGCGCAGUAUAGGUGGGAGGCGUUGAGAAUAAUCUUGCGGGAUUGUUGGAGCCGUCAGUGAGAUACCACUCUUGUAAUGUUAGAUUUCUAACUUUGUAUCAUUAUCUGGUCAAAGAACAGUUUCAGGCGGGCAGUUUGACUGGGGCGGUCGCCUCCCAAAGGGUAACGGAGGCGCACAAAGGUUUCCUCUGAACGGGUAGAAAUCGUAUCUAGAGUGUAAAGGCAUAAGGAAGCUUGACUGUGAGACCUACAAGUCGAGCAGGGACGAAAGUCGGUCUUAGUGAUCUGACGGUGCUGAGUGGAAAGGCCGUCACUCAACGGAUAAAAGUUACUCUAGGAUAACAGGCUGAUCUCCCCCAAGAGUUCACAUCGACGGGGAGGUUUGGCACCUCGAUGUCGGCUCAUCGCAUCCUGGGGCGGUAGUCCGUCCCAAGGGUUGGGCUGUUCGCCCAUGAAAGCGGUACGCGAGCUGGGUUCAGAACGUCGUGAGACAGUUCGGUCCAUAUCCGGUGUAGGCGUUAGAAUAUUGAGAGGAGCCUUCUCUAGUACGAGAGGACCGAGAAGGACAUACCUCUGGUGUACCAGUUAUCGUGCCAACGGUAAACGCUGGGUAGCUAUGUAUGGAGUGGAUAACCGCUGAAAGCAUCUAAGUGGGAAGCCCACCUCAAGAUAAG
This 1234-nucleotide ribosomal RNA is filed under the name metagenome. Its description in RNAcentral is "bacterial LSU rRNA". It matches the Rfam family "Bacterial large subunit ribosomal RNA", at positions 1564 to 2808 of the family's 2925-position model. The record is from RNAcentral.